Molecule: ribosomal RNA, 535 nt
Filed under: uncultured bacterium
Lineage: Bacteria
Description: bacterial SSU rRNA
Rfam family: Bacterial small subunit ribosomal RNA
Source: RNAcentral
CGGGGGGGGGAAGUCUUCGGACCUCUCGCUAUUGGAUGAGCCCGCGUCGGAUUAGCUAGUUGGUAGGGUAAAAGGCCUACCAAGGCUACGAUCCGUAACUGGUCUGAGAGGAUGAUCAGUCACACUGGAACUGAGACACGGUCCAGACUCCUACGGGAGGCAGCAGUGGGGAAUAUUGGACAAUGGGGGAAACCCUGAUCCAGCCAUGCCGCGUGUGUGAAGAAGGCCUUAGGGUUGUAAAGCACUUUCAGUGGGGAGAAAGGUUUGUCACCUAAUACGUGAUGAAAUUGAUGUUACCCACAGAAGAAGCACCGGCUAACUCCGUGCCAGCAGCCGCGGUAAUACGGAGGGUGCAAGCGUUAAUCGGAAUUACUGGGCGUAAAGCGCACGUAGGUGGUUCGCUAAGUCAGCUGUGAAAUCCCCGGGCUCAACCUGGGGACUUGCAGUUGAAACUGGUGAGCUAGAGUAGGGUAGAGGGGUGUGGAAUUCCAGGUGUAGCGGUGAAAAUGCGUAGAUAUCUGGAGGAACAUCAGUG